GACAUCUCGGGAAUCAUUUGGAAACAUAUGAGUGCCUCGCAAGAGGAGCCCGAUGACAGGUGCUGCAUGGCUGUCGUCAGCUCGUGUCGUGAGAUGUUGGGUUAAGUCCCGCAACGAGCGCAACCCUUGUCUUUAGUUGCCAUCAUUAAGUUGGGCACUCUAAAGAGACUGCCGGUGUCAAACCGGAGGAAGGUGGGGAUGACGUCAAGUCCUCAUGGCCUUUAUGACCAGGGCUACACACGUACUACAAUGGCAGGUACAAAGGGCAGCCACUUAGCGAUAAGGCGCGAAUCCCAUAAAACCUGUCUCAGUCCGGAUUGGAGUCUGCAACUCGACUCCAUGAAGUUGGAAUCGCUAGUAAUCGCAGAUCAGCACGCUGCGGUGAAUACGUUCCCGGGCCUU
Molecule: ribosomal RNA, 402 nt
Filed under: uncultured Desulfocapsa sp.
Lineage: Bacteria; Pseudomonadati; Thermodesulfobacteriota; Desulfobulbia; Desulfobulbales; Desulfocapsaceae
Description: bacterial SSU rRNA
Rfam family: Bacterial small subunit ribosomal RNA
Source: RNAcentral